ACGGCGACAUCACAUUGAAACAUCGGUUCCCGUACUGACACCGAAGUUAGGCAAUGUCGAGCCUGGUCAGUAUCGAGAUGGGUGACCGCUUGGGAAUAUUAGGUAUUGUAA
Non-coding RNA from Acanthosepion pharaonis, 111 nucleotides. The record is from the annotation of a GenBank genome assembly. Lineage: Eukaryota; Metazoa; Mollusca; Cephalopoda; Sepiida; Sepiidae.